GAGGGUAUGGUUCAACUGGUAGAAGACAUGCUUAGCAUGUAUGAGGUGCUGGGUUCAAUCCCCAGGACUUCCA
This 73-nucleotide transfer RNA is filed under the name Camelus bactrianus (Bactrian camel). It matches the Rfam family "tRNA". Rfam says of the family: Transfer RNA (tRNA) molecules are approximately 80 nucleotides in length. Their secondary structure includes four short double-helical elements and three loops (D, anti-codon, and T loops). The record is from Rfam by way of RNAcentral. RNAcentral also lists the same sequence under 3 other names. Lineage: Eukaryota; Metazoa; Chordata; Mammalia; Artiodactyla; Camelidae.